Molecule: transfer RNA, 90 nt
Filed under: Muribaculaceae bacterium
Lineage: Bacteria; Pseudomonadati; Bacteroidota; Bacteroidia; Bacteroidales; Muribaculaceae
Description: tRNA-Ser
Rfam family: tRNA
About the family: Transfer RNA (tRNA) molecules are approximately 80 nucleotides in length. Their secondary structure includes four short double-helical elements and three loops (D, anti-codon, and T loops).
Source: RNAcentral
GGAAAGAUGCCGGAGUGGUCGAUCGGGGCGGUCUCGAAAACCGUUGUACCCUUGCGGGUACCCAGGGUUCGAAUCCCUGUCUUUCCGCCA